Non-coding RNA from Paramuricea clavata, 205 nucleotides. The record is from the annotation of a GenBank genome assembly. NCBI's taxonomy places the organism in Eukaryota, Metazoa, Cnidaria, Anthozoa, Malacalcyonacea, Plexauridae.
CACCCCAACACUGGUCAACUGCUUACAAAUGUAACACCAGCUGUGAAUGUUGGUUUAUUUAUAUAUAAAUUUUUUUGGGAAUAGACGAUUUCUGAGGUUUGUUUUUUUUCUGUGUUGGUGUAGUGUACUCAGGUGAAUAUGAUAUUUGUGGUGUUACUCUGAGUGCAUAUCCACACCGGGCGAGCUUGAAAAAUAUGCCCGGCCA